Molecule: ribosomal RNA, 446 nt
Filed under: uncultured bacterium
Lineage: Bacteria
Description: SSU rRNA
Rfam family: Bacterial small subunit ribosomal RNA
Source: RNAcentral
AGAGCGAACGCUGGCGGCAGGCCUAACACAUGCAAGUCGAGCGCCCGUAGCAAUACGGGAGCGGCAGACGGGAUAGUAACACGUGGGAACGCGCCCUUCGGUUCGGAAUAACUCAGGGAAACUUGAGCUAAUACCGGAUACGCCCUUACGGGGAAAGAUUUAUUGCCGAAGGAACGGCCCGCGUCCGAUUAGCUAGUUGGUGAGGUAAUGGCUCACCAAGGCGACGAUCGGUAGCUGGUCUGAGAGGAUGACCAGCAUCACUGGGACUGAGACACGGCCCAGACUCCUACGGGAGGCAGCAGUGGGGAAUAUUGGACAAUGGGCGCAAGCCUGAUCCAGCCAUGCCGCGUGGAUGAUGAAGGCCUUAGGGUUGUAAAGUCCUUUUAACGGGGAAGAUAAUGACGGUACCGUAGAAUAAGCCCGGCUAACUUCGCGCCAGCAGCCGC